UACGGAGGGUGCAAGCGUUAUCCGGAUUCACUGGGUUUAAAGGGUGCGUAGGUGGGCUAGUAAGUCCGUGGUGAAAUCUCCAAGCUUAACUUGGAAACUGCCGUGGAUACUAUUAGUCUUGAAUUAAGUUGAGGUGGGCGGAAUAAGUCAUGUAGCGGUGAAAUGCUUAGAUAUGACUUAGAACACCGAUUGCGAAGGCAGCUCGCUAAACUUAUAUUGACGCUGAGGCACGAAAGCGUGGGGAUCAAACAGG
Molecule: ribosomal RNA, 253 nt
Filed under: uncultured bacterium
Lineage: Bacteria
Description: partial 16S ribosomal RNA
Rfam family: Bacterial small subunit ribosomal RNA
Source: RNAcentral